GACCCUAUAGAGUUUAAUAUUCAAUAAAUUAUAUUUUUUUUAGAAUUUAUAAGUUAUAUUUUAUUGAGUAUUUAAUUGGGGUGAUUAAAAAAUUAAAUAAACUUUUUUUACAUUAAAACAUUAAUUUAUGAUUAUUUGAUCCAUUAAUAGUGAUUAUAAGAUUAAAUUACCUUAGGGAUAACAGCGUAAUUUUUUUUGAGAGUUCUAAUCGAAAAGAAAGAUUGCGACCUCGAUGUUGGAUUAAAAUUUAUAUUUGGUGUAGAAGCUAAAUUUAUUGGGUCUGUUCGACCUUUAAAAUUUUACAUGAUCUGA
Molecule: ribosomal RNA, 312 nt
Filed under: Cycadophila hiepi
Lineage: Eukaryota; Metazoa; Arthropoda; Insecta; Coleoptera; Erotylidae
Description: partial 16S ribosomal RNA
Rfam family: Bacterial large subunit ribosomal RNA (bases 177-312)
Source: RNAcentral